ACCGUUGAGUGGGGGAUAAACUAGCCGAAAGGUUAGCUAAUACCGCAUACGUGCCCGAGGGGCAUCCCUUGGCCAUAAAAGGAGCAAUCCGCUCGAUGACGGGACCGGCUGUCCCAUUAGUCUAGAUGGUGGGGUAACUGGCCUAUCCAUGGCUCCGAUGGGUAGCCUGGUUUGAUGAGAGCGACCAGCCACACUGGGACUGAGACACGGUCCAAACU
RNAcentral lists this ribosomal RNA (218 nucleotides) under uncultured bacterium. RNAcentral describes it as "partial 16S ribosomal RNA". It matches the Rfam family "Bacterial small subunit ribosomal RNA", at positions 128 to 337 of the family's 1533-position model. The record is from RNAcentral.